AUGCUGCAUACAUCAUUUCUAAUGUGGAGGCCACGUGGUCUGGGUCUGUUCAUGACUCCAGGAUUUAUGGAGAGUCUAACCUGAGCAACAGACUGCAGCGUGGAGAGUUUGAUGGCCUUCUGCUGGGUGACAGGGGUUACCAUGACAACCCAGGCUGAUGACCUCAUACCCUGACCCUGAACCAGGCCCCCAACAGAACUUCAACCGGGCUCACUGCAGGACCAGAGCCCGGGUGGAGAUGACCAUAGGCCUGCUGAAAGCCCGUUUCCAGAGCCUACGUCUCCUCAGGGUGACCCCUGAGAGGGCCUGUGAUAUUACUGUGGCAUGUGUUGUUCUUCAUAAUAUUACCACUAUUAGAGGAGAGCAACACCCUGCCCUACAAACUGAAGACCCAGAUGAUGAGCCCAUCCACCUGCAGCUAUCCAGGACAGCAGAGCAGUCAGAGACACCGUAUGCAAUAAUCACUUUAGAGUUUAAGUCUCCAUCAUCACCACCACAGCAAAUAAAGACAUGAUACACAUUU
Molecule: long non-coding RNA, 523 nt
Organism: Acanthochromis polyacanthus (spiny chromis)
Lineage: Eukaryota; Metazoa; Chordata; Actinopteri; Pomacentridae
Exons: 2
Source: RefSeq, a predicted model, not a curated record